This 779-nucleotide long non-coding RNA is filed under the name Vigna radiata. RNAcentral's name for it is "long non-coding RNA (VRAD_LNC005535)". The record is from RNAcentral. Lineage: Eukaryota; Viridiplantae; Streptophyta; Magnoliopsida; Fabales; Fabaceae.
UUAAUUCUGACUAUCCCUAAUUACUCCCAAAUUGGGAAUUUCCAUUCUCAGAAAUCAAAAGUCGGGGAACAGAGACUCUGUGACACGUGCAGAGGUAGUGGCCUCUUUGUGGCGAGAGCGAUGGUGUUGCGGAGGCGCACUUCUUCCUUCCAUUUUCGCGUGUUGGUUCGACGUGCAGGGAAUCCUUCUUCUUCCUCUUAUUUAUGUCGUUUUCUAAUGCAAAGGGGAUGUGAGACAGUGGCAACGAAGAUGACGAUGGCAUUAACAUGGUGGUUAGCAAGGACAACGAUGACUUCGUGACUAGGGUUUCGAUUGGGGUUUUAGAAUUCUUUUUAUCCUUUGUUUUUCGCGAUUGUGGUUCUUGAUGGUCACAAAUUGGGAACUUAGGGAUUUGAUUUUAGGGUUUUUGAAAUUGGAAAUUUUUCCUUUGGGGUUUAUAUUCUUGAUUUUUCUGGUGUUGCGACUAGAGGGGUUGAGAUUUUCAUUUUUAGAUUGGAUUUUUGUGGUGGUUUCUACAUCGGCUGGCGGUGACCAUGAGGGUGGGGGCACAAGGAAGGAGAAAGGUUUCUACAUUUGAUUUUUGAGAAUGGAAAUUCCCAAUUUGGAAGUAAUUAGGGAUAGUCAGAAUUAAUUACCCCAAAUUCAAAUUUUAUUUCAACCCUAACUUCAAUAAAUUCCACGUCAUAAUUAUUUAUUAUUUUUACACAUCUAAUGAAGUCACACUGCCAGCACAGCCAAAACGUUACAAGUCAUCAAAUAUUUGCCAACUGCGCAGCUCU